UCUCAUCAAGUCAAAAUUAUAAUGUAGAAUUGUAUUGGCGCAAUUGAUGGUACACACAUACGAGCUAGUGUCCCCAAGUCUCGUGAGGCAGCUUUUCGAGGUAGAAAGAGUUUCACAACCCAAAAUGUGAUGGCCGCGGUAGACUUUGACCUUCGCUUCACAUAUGUGCUAGCUGGUUGGGAGGGUUCGGCACAUGAUGCCGUCGUUCUAGCUGAUGCCUUACAAAGGCAGAAUGGUCUCGUUGUACCUGAAGGAAAAUAUUACCUAGUUGACUGCGGUUAUGGUGCAAAGCCAGGGUUCUUACCACCUUUUCGUGGUGUCCGAUACCACUUAAAAGAGUGGGGUAAUGAUAACAGGCCAGAAAAUGAGAAGGAAUUAUUUAAUUUAAGGCAUUCACAACUACGGGUUACUGUUGAGCGUGCCUUUGGAUCCCUGAAGAACCGUUUUAAGUUUCUUGAUGAUGCUCGACCUUUCUUUCCUUUCAAAACACAAGUAGAUGUUGUUCUUGCAUGUUGCAUCCUCCACAAUUGGAUAUUAUCGCACGGGGCAGAUUGUUUUCUCCCACCUGAGGAAGCAUGGACAACAAACCAACCUUCUAGUUCAACAAGUUCCCAUCAGGAGCAAGUACAAGAAAACAGACAAUGGGUUCAGUGGAGGCAGCAACUUGCAAAUUGGAUGUGGGAAACUAGAGCAGCUUCCCAUGUACAAGAAAAUUAGAUCAUAAAUUGCAAAGUGGCAUCAUUCUUUGGAUGAAGAUGGAUGAUGUCCAAGAAAUUGAACAAAGGUCCCAGUCACAAAUUUUCUGGACACAAGAAAUGUCUGCAUGUGCUUUGAAAUAUUUGGCCCAGUUGGUUGCUUAUGGAAUUCGAGUAGACAAAGGAUUCAAAAGCUCGCACUAUAAUCAAUGUGCUAAAGUGGUGAAGGAAAGAUUUCAGGUUCAAGUUUCUGGUUCUCAAGUUACUAAUCAUCUUAAGACAUGGAGAACUCGCUGGUCAAACAUAUGCAAUUAUAAGAAGAUUAGCUCAGCCCAUUUUGAUGAGCAAACUGGAACAAUAUUGCUUGAUGAGAAGAACUACUUGGAACGGGUGCAGGUGUGUAU
Zea mays is the source of this 1099-nucleotide RNA transcript. It is a transcript of the gene named dual specificity phosphatase domain protein, with no coding region annotated. Lineage: Eukaryota; Viridiplantae; Streptophyta; Magnoliopsida; Poales; Poaceae. The record is from RefSeq and is a predicted model, not a curated record. The transcript has 3 exons.